Molecule: long non-coding RNA, 474 nt
Organism: Triticum aestivum (bread wheat)
Lineage: Eukaryota; Viridiplantae; Streptophyta; Magnoliopsida; Poales; Poaceae
Exons: 3
Source: RefSeq, a predicted model, not a curated record
UGAUGAGACAGUUCGGUCUAUAUCAAGAGCCUGAGAUUCCAGAUAUUCCACACUUGCCAGACCACGUGCACAAGGACAGUCGCCUAGGAGGAAACAAGUCGAUGGAUUACUGGCUUAAGAGCAUUACCCCUUACGUUGACGAAUGGACUACCGCUGCGACAAAUAUCUGGGGUGAGGUUCGGGCCUUUAACUGGGAAAUGUUCGGGUUGUAUCUGCAGCGUUACCGGCAUACAACGAGGAUCUACUUGGUUCCAUCAGCUGCUACUGAUCAGAUCGAAGCCCCUCUCACCAGCGAUAUGUACCCAACUGCCUCUGUUGUGGGAACCAGACACCACGCGGGUGACUUGACAGUACAAGCGCGAGAGGAGGUUUCCGCUUUAAUGCGGCGCUAUCAGAGGGGAGAAACUAUCCCACCGCGAGAGGGCGUCUCAUAGUUGAGGCGUCUUGAUGACAAGCUACGCGGGAUUUACGCAG